This is a non-coding RNA of Tetranychus urticae (two-spotted spider mite), 1994 nucleotides long. The record is from RefSeq and is a predicted model, not a curated record. NCBI's taxonomy places the organism in Eukaryota, Metazoa, Arthropoda, Arachnida, Trombidiformes, Tetranychidae.
GGAUAAACAAUAAAUAAAACUAAUUGCAACUUUAAAUGAGGUCAAAAUUGGGCUCUCAUUUUCAAUAUAUUUAUCAUCCAUUGAGUUGAUCUCAUGUUAAUUGGGUAUUUAGAUGUGAAACAAAUUUAACAAUAUAAUGAAGAUUUACAAUGGUGAAGGUAAGAUGAGUUUCAUUUUGUAAAUUACAUUGUCAAGUGCAAAAUUAUUUGCAUAAUUGUUACAUUAAUUAAUCUUAUUGUAAGUUAAUAAACUAUUCACAAUCGAGCAUCUUUUCAGGUAAAAUAUUUACUAAUAUUAACCAACAUUGAAUAGGAUUAACCAGUUUAUUCAAAAGUACAUUGCUAUUGUAACUUGUUUUGCACUGGUUAACAUCAAUCAUGUUCACAAUUAGAUUGGCUAAUUUAACUGAUUUAACUGAUCUAAUUGCGAAACUAAUUUCACUUUAAUCUCUCAUUAAACAGUAAUUGUUAUGCAGAUUUAAAAGACACUCAAUAGACAAGAUGAUUUUGUAAAUAUAAAUAUCUUUAAAUUGAAUCGAUUGAACAAUUUAACCAGAAAAUUUUGAGGAACAUGUUGCUAACUCCAUCUAUUGUUGAAAAGGUUAACGAGUUUAAACACAUGUUCGAGUUUGGUUUUUAGUUUAAUCUGUGUAACUGUAUUAAUAAAUUGUUCAUCUAAUCUAAUGAAAGAACUGGAUUAAUUGGUAUCAACCUAAUUUCAAUAUUGGUUCAUUAAUUAUUUUAAAACUGACCAAGGAGAAGCAAAAGGAAAAAAAACAUCUUUAAAUUAAACAGUUAACACGCAGAUACACCAGUUUCAAUAGUGCCUAAUACUGGGAUCAUAAAGCUUUAAGAUUUAAACAUCUCAAUGGUUUCUUUAUAGCCCAUCCAGAUUGGAAGCUAAGGUGAUGGAGAAACUUCACAGCUUCUUGUUCCUGAUCAAUUCAAAUUAGGUUAAUAAUGAUGAAAAGAGAAAUAGAGAAAAUGAGAGAGAAAGAAGAGUGAAAACAAGAUCACACUUGAUGAUGAUCCUUCAUCAUAAUCAUCACUAUUUCAAGCUCAUUAUGUAUAAGAAUGAUGAAGUUAACUAUUUCAUGCUAACGGCUACUUUCUAUUGACCAAUCAACCAACCAACCAGUUAGUCAACGGAGAGAAAAAUACAUAAAAAUCAAGCCAAUCUUCAAACUUGAUCUUCCUUUCUUCCAUUUCAUCAUCAUCCAGAUCAUCAUCUUUCGCCAAUCUCUUAAAUUCUCAUCUAGAAAAUGGUUGCAACAGAAACUCAGGGAAUAAAACAUUUAUUUUUUGGUUAAAUUAGGCUAACAAUCAAUUUAAAUGAUACUCUUCAAUGGGUUCAACUUAAACUUCCAUCAUCAUCACCUAAACAAAAUGGUUAUAUUACUUCUCAAUCAUUAUCAACAUCAUUAUCGACCAACAAGUACAGUUGUAAUGAUAAAUACGGAGGCAGAGGAAAAAAACAACCAAAAAAACAAGAAAAAAUACACUAAUAAAUAACCCUUUUGGUUCAUAUAAAUUAACUCAGGCAAUGAUAGCCAAUAAAUAAUAAUGAGGUUGUGUUAAUGAUGAUUUAAAUAUUAACAACUUGAAAAAGGUCUGAAAAAAUAGAAGGAAAAAAAUGAUAGAAAUGACCAUUUCUCAAUGUAGACCGUUUUGGCCAGGAAAGUAGUUAAGGGUUAAGGUUAAUGUUUGGCCAUUGAAGGAGCAAAAUUGGUUUAAAAAUGGACCUAAAAAAGGGCAAUUCUUGAUAAUUACAUCUGAAUUGACCAACAUCACAAUGUUUCACCAAGCCAGCCAUUGAGAGUUUCAAUGUUUGUACAACUCUAGUCAUUUGAUUAAUCUGAUUAACCAUUUUUAACCAUUCAAUAUUGACAUGGAAACAGUUUGACAAUCAACUGUGAUUUAGGUCAGUCUUUGUUUAAUCUUGUUUAUUUUUAUGGGUGUUCAAGUUAAUCAAGUAAAUAGUGUAAAUUGAAAUGA